CACGUAGGAUGCGAGCGUUGUCCGGAAUUAUUGGGCGUAAAGAGCUCGUAGGCGGUGUGUCGCGUCGGCCGUGAAAACCUGCAGCUUAACUGUGGGCUUGCGGUCGAUACGGGCAUCACUGGAGUUCGGCAGGGGAGACUGGAAUUCCUGGUGUAGCGGUGAAAUGCGCAGAUAUCAGGAGGAACACCGGUGGCGAAGGCGGGUCUCUGGGCCGAUACUGACGCUGAGGAGCGAAAGCGUGGGGAGCGAACAGG
Molecule: ribosomal RNA, 254 nt
Filed under: uncultured bacterium
Lineage: Bacteria
Description: partial 16S ribosomal RNA
Rfam family: Bacterial small subunit ribosomal RNA
Source: RNAcentral